GGGGAUGUGGCUAAGCGGGUAGAGUGCUUGCCUAGCAUGCGUGAAGCCCUGGGUUUAAUCCCCAGCACCA
RNAcentral lists this transfer RNA (70 nucleotides) under Rattus norvegicus (Norway rat). It matches the Rfam family "tRNA". From Rfam's summary of the family: Transfer RNA (tRNA) molecules are approximately 80 nucleotides in length. Their secondary structure includes four short double-helical elements and three loops (D, anti-codon, and T loops). Lineage: Eukaryota; Metazoa; Chordata; Mammalia; Rodentia; Muridae. The record is from Rfam by way of RNAcentral.